GCAAGGACAGGUGUCCUGUGGGCACUGGGUGAGCGUAGCUGGGCUGCGGGGAUGGGUGCGGGCGCUGCUGGACCAGGGCAUCACCUCAUUCCACUGCCCCUGCUGCCCGGACACCCCUUGGCUCUGGCAGGAGCUGUGCAAACUCGGGCUCUUCUCGGAUGAGGAGCAGGCCACGCUGGAGGCCCAAAUCCUGGCACAGGAGGGGGCCAGGGGCAGCUACCACCAGUGUCCACGCAGCCAGCACCUUGUCCAGCGGCUGGACCCCGGUACCUUGCGCACCCU
Molecule: long non-coding RNA, 282 nt
Organism: Gopherus flavomarginatus (Mexican gopher tortoise)
Lineage: Eukaryota; Metazoa; Chordata; Testudines; Testudinidae
Exons: 3
Source: RefSeq, a predicted model, not a curated record